RNAcentral lists this long non-coding RNA (204 nucleotides) under Olea europaea (common olive). RNAcentral describes it as "long non-coding RNA (OEUR_LNC012134)". Lineage: Eukaryota; Viridiplantae; Streptophyta; Magnoliopsida; Lamiales; Oleaceae. The record is from RNAcentral.
CACCCUUUCCGUCACCUUCUCCAUUAUCCUCUUCAUCACCCGAUCUAUCAACCAAUCGCUUGCUUACUAUUUCACCUCCUCAUCUUUAAGUUCUAUGAAGUAGCGACCUAGCGCUCCAAUAUCAUGAGAUAAAUCAUCUACCUUGCCUUUCACUCUCGUGGCAACUCGCCUACAUUCUCUCGCAACCUGCCCAUCUCCUCAGCU